This 95-nucleotide microRNA precursor is filed under the name Leptotrombidium deliense. RNAcentral describes it as "microRNA mir-263". It matches the Rfam family "mir-263 microRNA precursor family". Lineage: Eukaryota; Metazoa; Arthropoda; Arachnida; Trombidiformes; Trombiculidae. The record is from RNAcentral.
AUACUUGUUUCUCUUAAUGGCACUGGAAGAAUUCACGGUUUUUACACAAUCAUAUCGUCCGUGGAUUCUCCUGUGCCUCGAAGAGCAACUAGAAU